This 1575-nucleotide ribosomal RNA is filed under the name Triticum aestivum (bread wheat). RNAcentral's name for it is "partial small subunit ribosomal RNA". Lineage: Eukaryota; Viridiplantae; Streptophyta; Magnoliopsida; Poales; Poaceae. The record is from RNAcentral.
AUGACAAAUAUGGUUCGAUGGCUCUUCUCUACUAACCACAAGGAUAUUGGGACUCUCUAUUUCAUCUUCGGUGCCAUUGCAGGAGUGAUGGGCACAUGCUUCUCUGUACUGAUUCGUAUGGAAUUAGCCCGACCCGGCGAUCAAAUUCUUGGUGGGAAUCAUCAACUUUAUAAUGUUUUAAUAACGGCUCAUGCUUUUUUAAUGAUCCUUUUUAUGGUUAUGCUGGCGAUGAUAGGUGGAUUUGGUAAUUGGUUUGUUCCAAUUCUGAUAGGUGCACCUGACAUGGCAUGUCCACGAUUAAAUAAUAUAUCAUUCUGGUUGUGGCCACCAAGUCUCUUCCUCCUAUUAAGCUCAUCCUUAGUAGAAGUGGGCAGCGGCACUGGGUGGACAGUCUAUCCGCCCUUAAGUGGUAUUACCAGUCAUUCUGGAGGAGCAGUUGAUUUAGCAAUUUUUAGUCUUCAUCUAUCAGGUAUUUCAUCAAUUUUAGGUUCUAUCAAUUUUAUAACAACUAUCUUCAACAUGCCUGGACCUGGAAUGACUAUGCAUAGAUUACCACUUUUUGUGUGGUCCGUUCUAGUGACAGCAUUCCUACUUUUAUUAUCACUUCCGGUACUGGCGGGGGCAAUUACAAUGUUAUUAACCGAUCGAAACUUUAAUACAACCUUUUUUGAUCCUGCAGGAGGGGGAGACCCAAUAUUAUACCAGCAUCUCUUUUGGUUCUUCGGUCAUCCAGAGGUGUAUAUUCUCAUUCUUCCUGGAUUUGGUAUUAUUAGUCAUAUCGUAUCGACCUUUUCAAGAAAACCGGUCUUCGGGUAUCUAGGCAUGGUUUAUGCCAUGAUAAGUAUAGGUGUUCUUGGAUUUGUAGUUUGGGCUCAUCAUAUGUUUACUGUGGGCUUAGACGUUGAUACGCGUGCCUACUUCACCGCAGCUACCAUGAUCAUAGCUGUGCCCACAGGAAUCAAAAUCUUUAGUUGGAUCGCUACCAUGUGGGGAGGUUCGAUACAAUACAAAACACCCAUGUUAUUUGCUGUAGGGUUCAUCUUUUUGUUCACCAUAGGAGGGCUCACUGGAAUAGUUCUAGCAAACUCUGGGCUAGACAUUGCUCUACAUGAUACUUAUUAUGUGGUUGCACAUUUCCAUUAUGUACUUUCUACGGGAGCCGUUUUUGCUUUAUUUGCUGGAUUUUACUAUUGGGUGUGUAAAAUCUUUGGUCGGACAUAUCCUGAAACUUUAGGCCAAAUCCAUUUUUGGAUCACUUUUUUGGGGGUUAAUCUGACCUUCUUUCCCAUGCAUUUCUUAGGGCUUUCGGGUAUGCCACGUCGCAUUCCAGAUUAUCCAGAUGCUUAUGCUGGAUGGAAUUCUCUGAGCAGUUUUGGUUCUUAUAUAUCCGUAGUUGGGAUUCGUCGUUUCUUCGUAGUUGUCGCAAUCACUUCAAAUAGUGGAAAGAACCAAAAAUGUGCGGAAAGUCCUUGGGCUGUUGAACAGAAUCCAACCACACUAGAAUGGUUGGUACAAAUCCCUCCGGCCUUUCAUACUUUUGGAGAACUUCCUGCGGUAAAAGAGACAAAAAGCUAA